AGUGAACGCUGGCGGUAGGCCUAACACAUGCAAGUCGAACGGCAGCACAGUAAGAGCUUGCUCUUACGGGUGGCGAGUGGCGGACGGGUGAGGAAUACAUCGGAAUCUACUUUUUCGUGGGGGAUAACGUAGGGAAACUUAUGCUAAUACCGCAUACGACCUACGGGUGAAAGCAGGGGAUCUUCGGACCUUGCGCGAUUCAAUGAGCCGAUGUCGGAUUAGCUAGUUGGCAAGGUAAAGGCCCACCAAGGCGACGAUCCGUAGCUGGUCUGAGAGGAUGAUCAGCCACACUGGAACUGAGACACGGUCCAGACUCCUACGGGAGGCAGCAGUGGGGAAUAUUGGACAAUGGGCGCAAGCCUGAUCCAGCCAUGCCGCGUGAGUGAAGAAGGCCUUCGGGUUGUAAAGCCCUUUUGUUGGGAAAGAAAAGCAGCAGGUUAAUACCCCGCUGUUCUGACGGUACCCAAAGAAUAAGCACCGGCUAACUUCGUG
This 492-nucleotide ribosomal RNA is filed under the name uncultured bacterium. Its description in RNAcentral is "partial 16S ribosomal RNA". It matches the Rfam family "Bacterial small subunit ribosomal RNA", at positions 29 to 507 of the family's 1533-position model. The record is from RNAcentral.